Molecule: ribosomal RNA, 460 nt
Filed under: uncultured Porphyromonas sp.
Lineage: Bacteria; Pseudomonadati; Bacteroidota; Bacteroidia; Bacteroidales; Porphyromonadaceae
Description: bacterial SSU rRNA
Rfam family: Bacterial small subunit ribosomal RNA
Source: RNAcentral
CCUACGGGGGGCUGCAGUGAGGAAUAUUGGUCAAUGGGCGAGAGCCUGAACCAGCCAAGUCGCGUGAAGGAUGACUGUCUUAUGGAUUGUAAACUUCUUUUGUAGGGGAGUAAAGAGGGGUACGUGUGCCUCAGUGAAUGUACCCUACGAAUAAGCAUCGGCUAACUCCGUGCCAGCAGCCGCGGUAAUACGGAGGAUGCGAGCGUUAUCCGGAUUUAUUGGGUUUAAAGGGUGCGUAGGCGGCCUGUUAAGUCAGCGGUGAAAUCUAGGAGCUUAACUCCUAAAUUGCCAUUGAUACUGGCGGGCUUGAGUGUAGAUGAGGUAGGCGGAAUGCGUGGUGUAGCGGUGGAAUGCAGAGAUAUCACGCAGAACUCCGAUUGCGAAGGUAGCUUACUAAGGUACAACUGACGCUGAAGCACGAAAGCGUGGGUAUCAAACAGGAUUAGAUACCCUGGUAGUC